UUGGUAGAUCGUAGGGAUUGUCGCUGGCCUUUGGAAACGAAGGCAUGUGCACGUUCCGAGUUCUCCUUAGUCCUCCUUUGCCUUUCCUUUGGAAAACCCUUUCUUCACACCCGUGCACCCAUUGUAGGUCUCUGCGAGGGGAUCUAUGUCUUCACACAAACACUACGUAUGUCUAGGAAUGUAUCUAAAAGCGUCGAACGGCUUGGCUUCGUGCCCGGUCGGCGACGGUAAAGAACCAUAAUACAACUUUCAGCAACGGAUCUCUUGGCUCUCGCAUCGAUGAAGAACGCAGCGAAUUGCGAUAAGUAAUGUGAAUUGCAGAUUUUCAGUGAAUCAUCGAAUCUUUGAACGCACCUUGCGCUCCUUGGUAUUCCGAGGAGCAUGCCUGUUUGAGUGUCAUUUAAUUCUCAACCAUCCCUCGAUUCGUUUCGAGGGUUUGGCUUGGAUUUUGGGGGCUGCCGGGCGACCCUAGGGUCUUCGGCUCUCCUUAAAAGCAUUAGCGAUGGCGGCGCGAUCUAACCCCCAUGCAUGAACGGCCUUCGACGUGAUAAUGAUCGUCGUGGCUGGAGUGUUGUUAGUGGGUGUCGCGAAGUCGGCGCUUCUAAAGACCUCGUCGAAAGACGAAAACUCGAAACUUGACCUC
Molecule: ribosomal RNA, 643 nt
Filed under: uncultured Paxillus
Lineage: Eukaryota; Fungi; Basidiomycota; Agaricomycetes; Boletales; Paxillaceae
Description: eukaryotic LSU rRNA
Rfam family: 5.8S ribosomal RNA (bases 245-399)
Source: RNAcentral